GUGUGUGUGUGUGUGUGUGUGUGUGUGUAUCUCUCUAUCUCUCUUAUACAGAUGCAAAUGUUCCACCAUCCUCCCAAAGGCUGCUGCAGGAGCACUGAAGGCACAUACCUGGAGAAAGACCUCAGCCAGGACAACUUUCAUCAGGAGGUUUCUGCUGGACCACGCUGUCAACACCAAGCUGAGGCAGGAGGAGGAGCAUGGAGACAUGCUGCUUAUGAGUGAGCAGUCUCUGAGGGAGGGAUCUGAUGAGACACUUUUUAAUCUGCCAGAGUCCUGGGAGGGAUGUACAAUACGUCCUGCCUCUGCAGCCCCAGCCACAGUGGACUAUCCCGGGGACUACCAGUUCCAGCUCCAACUUCAGAAGUCUGGCACAGCAAAGUCCGUCACAGCCCCUUAUAGAGCUUCUCAACAAGCUGUACUGCUAGCUGGAUAAAAGUAACCCCAUUGAAGAGCCGGUGAGCAGGGAGCCUCCUGCGGACGAGGUCCUCAGGGCUGCUGCAGUGAACAAGAAGUGUAUCCACUCACACCCCAUACUGUACGGUGGCUGUAACAAUGAACAAUGAUCAAUCUCUGCAGCAAAUAAUAAAGUUGGUGACUUUUCAAUGUAA
Notolabrus celidotus (New Zealand spotty) is the source of this 608-nucleotide long non-coding RNA. RefSeq lists it as uncharacterized. The transcript is spliced from 2 exons. The record is from RefSeq and is a predicted model, not a curated record. Lineage: Eukaryota; Metazoa; Chordata; Actinopteri; Labriformes; Labridae.